RNAcentral lists this ribosomal RNA (468 nucleotides) under uncultured bacterium. RNAcentral describes it as "partial 16S ribosomal RNA". It matches the Rfam family "Bacterial small subunit ribosomal RNA", at positions 28 to 507 of the family's 1533-position model. The record is from RNAcentral.
GACGAACGCUGGCGGCGUGCUUAACGCAUGCAAGUCGAACGGAAAGGCCCUGCUUUUGUGGGGUGCUCGAGUGGCGAACGGGUGAGUAACACGUGAGUAACCUGCCCUUGACUUUGGGAUAACUUCAGGAAACUGGGGCUAAUACCGGAUAGGAGCUCCUGCUGCAUGGUGGGGGUUGGAAAGUUUCGGCGGUUGGGGAUGGACUCGCGGCCUAUCAGCUUGUUGGUGGGGUAGUGGCUUACCAAGGCUUUGACGGGUAGCCGGCCUGAGAGGGUGACCGGCCACAUUGGGACUGAGAUACGGCCCAGACUCCUACGGGAGGCAGCAGUGGGGAAUAUUGCACAAUGGGCGGAAGCCUGAUGCAGCAACGCCGCGUGCGGGAUGACGGCCUUCGGGUUGUAAACCGCUUUCGCCUGUGACGAAGCGUGAGUGACGGUAAUGGGUAAAGAAGCACCGGCUAACUACAUG